ACUUAGUAAAAUAUCAUGGAUAUUUAUGAAUGAAAAAUCUUAGAUAUUUAGGCUUGAUAUUUUGUAAAGAGUAUUCUAGAUUAAGAAUACUCUAGAUAGUCUUGUAACUACUAUAAAUAGGGAUCAAGGGAGCUCAUUUGAAGCAUCCCUAGCAACUUGUAAACUUCAUACACUUGUAAACUCUCUUUGUCUAAUACAAAGCUAUUCUCUUGUAUACUUGUGUUCAAGUAUUACAAGCAACUUUCUUGCGAUCCAACAUUCCCUUUAGCAACUUUCAAAACCAAAACCCAACGACACUAAGUCGGCUAGGCUUACUUAGACCGUGUUCUAAGGUCGUACGCGAGUUGAAAGACUAUCUCCGUGACAUCUAGCUCACUUCUAUAGCUAUUCUCUUCUUGUUUCAUCUUCUAAAACACUUGGAUAAUCUCUAGGAAGGUUUUCAUAAGUUUGCUUGGGCAAACUAAGGGUGACUUGGUGAUUCCAUCCUCAAACCUACAACUCUUCACGGGAUUAUAAAGUUUGAAGUUUUGCAAAACCGUUGAUGAUGGUGAUUAUGAUGAAAUCUAGUAGGGACGAAACUAGAACCUCAUAACGAAAUACUAAAAUUGUUAUCUAAUUUUUGUUGAACUUGUUGUAUUUUGUCUUUUCGAUGUUGUAAUUUCAAUUUCUUAUGAUGUACUUGACAAUUCAUGUUAUGAAAUGAAAUUGGUUUUGAAUUAAACUA
This is a long non-coding RNA of Helianthus annuus (common sunflower), 724 nucleotides long. RefSeq lists it as uncharacterized. The transcript has 3 exons. NCBI's taxonomy places the organism in Eukaryota, Viridiplantae, Streptophyta, Magnoliopsida, Asterales, Asteraceae. The record is from RefSeq and is a predicted model, not a curated record.